UUUGCUGUUGUUUUCUGUUUUUUUUUUCUUUUUGUUUAGUUUAUUGAGACAGGGUUUCUCUAUGUAUCUCUGGCUGACCUGGAACUCACUCUGUAGACCAGGCUGACCUUGAACUCACAGAGAUCCGCCCGCCUCUGCCUCCCGAGUGCUGGGAUUAAAGCUGUAGAUCAACGUAUGAAACUGUGAUUCAUUUUCUUGAGUUCUAUUCUGUUUCAUCUUGGUGCCAUUGCCCGAAGAACAGACCGGGUUCCCUGCGAUGAAAGGAGACAGAGACAGAGUCCCACAUUGGAGCACCAGACUACAACCCCAAGGUCCAAAUCAGGAGCAGAAGGAGAGAGAGCACAAGCAAGGAACUCAGGGCCAUGAGGGGUGCACCCACACACUGAGACAAUGGGGAUGCUCUUUCGGGAACUUGCCUUAGAAGUAUUCUAACAUGGAAUGGGCAUCAGCUGAUGUCUGGGUGUCAAAGAUCACUCUGGGGGCACCUUCUUCUUUCCAUCUCUUUUAACUGAUUAUGUGUCAUUGGCAGCAUAAAAACCACUGUUUUCUCUGAACAGUUGUUGAGAAAUCUCCUGACACUUGCAGAAAAACCCGAUAGAGGACUCCUGGACUUCCUGGAAAAGCAACAAUUGGGACAUAGCAAUAGAAUACUCUAUGUAAUAGCUUCUAACUGAUAUGGAAAGGAAACUAUAUUUUAAGCAGAAUGCCAAGGAACUACUUCUUACCUGGUCUGCCUGUCACGUACCUGCUUCCACACAAGAGUGGAAUCUGCUGUGUUUUCGGCUUCUUAUCAUUUCUCCCAGGUGUGGUGCAUCACAUAAAGGGCCCUAAAGGGUGGCUGAAUCACUUGAAACUCAUUUUUCCCCAUCGCUAGCGGACUAUGUGACUGAACAAGUGCUAAUUAGGGCACAGGAUGAGUCUUUCCUUACAGGGUUGAACGAGGACGAAAUGAGAUAAUGCAGAAGCAUCGU
Alexandromys fortis (reed vole) is the source of this 971-nucleotide long non-coding RNA. RefSeq lists it as uncharacterized. The record is from RefSeq and is a predicted model, not a curated record. NCBI's taxonomy places the organism in Eukaryota, Metazoa, Chordata, Mammalia, Rodentia, Cricetidae. The transcript is spliced from 3 exons.